Molecule: ribosomal RNA, 844 nt
Filed under: uncultured bacterium
Lineage: Bacteria
Description: bacterial SSU rRNA
Rfam family: Bacterial small subunit ribosomal RNA
Source: RNAcentral
UAGAAGACAUGCAAGUCGAACGAGGUUAUAAUUGUAGUAAUACAAUUAUAGCUUAGUGGCGAACGGGUGCGUAACACGUGAGCAAUCUGCCGGGAAGUGUGGGAUAGCUCGCCGAAAGGCGAAUUAAUACCGCAUGUGGCUAGGGGUGACAUCACUCCGAAGCCAAAGUCGCAAGACGCUUCCUGAUGAGCUCGCGGCCUAUCAGCUAGUUGGUGAGGUAACGGCUCACCAAGGCAAUGACGGGUAGCUGGUCUGAGAGGACGACCAGCCACACUGGAACUGAGACACGGUCCAGACACCUACGGGUGGCAGCAGUCGAGAAUUUUUCACAAUGGGGGAAACCCUGAUGGAGCGACGCCGCGUGGAGGACGAAGGUCUUCGGAUUGUAAACUCCUGUCAUGCGGGAACAAGAAAGUGAUAGUACUGCAAGAGGAAGAGACGGCUAACUCUGUGCCAGCAGCCGCGGUAAUACAGAGGUCUCAAGCGUUGUUCGGAUUCAUUGGGCGUAAAGGGUGCGUAGGUGGCGUGGAAAGUUGAGUGUGAAAUCCUAGGGCUUAACCUUAGAACUGCACUCAAUACUCCCAUGCUAGAGGAAUGUAGAGGAGAGUGGAAUUCACGGUGUAGCAGUGAAAUGCGUAGAUAUCGUGAGGAAGACCAGUUGCGAAGGCGACUCUCUGGGCAUCUCCUGACACUGAGGCACGAAGGCUAGGGGAGCAAACGGGAUUAGAUACCCCGGUAGUCCUAGCAGUAAACGGUGCACGUUUGGUGUGGGCAGGCUCAGACCCUGUCCGUGCCGGAGCUAACGCGUUAAACGUGCCGCCUGGGAAGUACGGUCGCAAGAUUA